This 24-nucleotide non-coding RNA is filed under the name Arabidopsis thaliana (thale cress). The record is from RNAcentral. Lineage: Eukaryota; Viridiplantae; Streptophyta; Magnoliopsida; Brassicales; Brassicaceae.
AACACUAGGAGGUUACAAUUCUUC